CGGCUCCGCGCUGCCCGCCGGGCGUCUGGGGGCUCCUGGCGCUGCUGCUGCUGCCCCUGCCCGGGGCUCGCGGAAGACAAUGUAAACCACUAGAACUAGAAAAUGGCAGGUUUCAUUACACGGUUGUCCAGGUUGGUGCAACAGCAAACUUCUCCUGUAAUGAAGGG
Non-coding RNA from Chrysemys picta bellii (western painted turtle), 167 nucleotides. The record is from RefSeq and is a predicted model, not a curated record. NCBI's taxonomy places the organism in Eukaryota, Metazoa, Chordata, Testudines, Emydidae.